Molecule: ribosomal RNA, 253 nt
Filed under: uncultured bacterium
Lineage: Bacteria
Description: partial 16S ribosomal RNA
Rfam family: Bacterial small subunit ribosomal RNA
Source: RNAcentral
UACGAAGGGGGCUAGCGUUGUUCGGAAUUACUGGGCGUAAAGGGCUCGUAGGCGGCCAACUAAGUCAGACGUGAAAUCCCUCAGCUUAACUGGGGAACUGCGUCUGAGACUGGUCGGCUCGAGGGCAGGAGAGGAACGUGGAAUUCCAGGUGUAGCGGUGAAAUGCGUAGAUAUCUGGAGGAACACCGGUGGCGAAGGCGGCGUUCUGGACUGCAUCUGACACUGAGGAACGAAAGCCAGGGGAGCAAACGGG